ACGUAGGUGGCAAGCGUUGUCCGGAAUUAUUGGGCGUAAAGCGCGCGCAGGCGGUCCUUUAAGUCUGAUGUGAAAGCCCACGGCUCAACCGUGGAGGGUCAUUGGAAACUGGGGGACUUGAGUGCAGAAGAGGAAAGUGGAAUUCCACGUGUAGCGGUGAAAUGCGUAGAGAUGUGGAGGAACACCAGUGGCGAAGGCGGCCUGCUGGGCUGUUGCUGACGCUGAUGCGCGACAGCGUGGGGAGCAAACAGGA
RNAcentral lists this ribosomal RNA (253 nucleotides) under uncultured prokaryote. RNAcentral's name for it is "partial 16S ribosomal RNA". It matches the Rfam family "Bacterial small subunit ribosomal RNA", at positions 525 to 777 of the family's 1533-position model. The record is from RNAcentral.